GACGAACGCUGGCGGCGUGCUUAACACAUGCAAGUCGAACGGAAAGGCCCUGCUUUUGUGGGGUGCUCGAGUGGCGAACGGGUGAGUAACACGUGAGUAACCUGCCCUUGACUUUGGGAUAACUUCAGGAAACUGGGGCUAAUACCGGAUAGGAGCUCCUGCUGCAUGGUGGGGGUUGGAAAGUUUCGGCGGUUGGGGAUGGACUCGCGGCUUAUCAGCUUGUUGGUGGGGUAAUGGCUUACCAAGGCUUUGACGGGUAGCCGGCCUGAGAGGGUGACCGGCCACAUUGGGACUGAGAUACGGCCCAGACUCCUACGGGAGGCAGCAGUGGGGAAUAUUGCACAAUGGGCGGAAGCCUGACGCAGCAACGCCGCGUGCGGGAUGACGGCCUUCGGGUUGUAAACCGCUUUCGCCUGUGACGAAGCGUGAGUGACGGUAAUGGGUAAAGAAGCACCGGCUAACUACGUG
This 468-nucleotide ribosomal RNA is filed under the name uncultured bacterium. RNAcentral describes it as "partial 16S ribosomal RNA". It matches the Rfam family "Bacterial small subunit ribosomal RNA", at positions 28 to 507 of the family's 1533-position model. The record is from RNAcentral.